RNAcentral lists this ribosomal RNA (237 nucleotides) under uncultured bacterium. RNAcentral describes it as "partial 16S ribosomal RNA". It matches the Rfam family "Bacterial small subunit ribosomal RNA", at positions 118 to 351 of the family's 1533-position model. The record is from RNAcentral.
UAAGCAAUCUGCCCUUCUCAUCGGAAUAAGCGUUGGAAACGACGUCUAAUGCCGAAUACGACCUCCUUUCGCAUGAUCGGAGGUGGAAAGCUCCGGCGGAGAAGGAUGAGCUCGCGGCCUAUCAGCUAGUUGGUGUGGGUAAUGGCCCACCAAGGCGACGACGGGUAGCCGGCCUGAGAGGGUGACCCGGCCACACUGGGACUGAGACACGGCCCAGACCUCCGUACGGGGAGGNAG